UACGGAGGGUGCAAGCGUUAUCCGGAUUUACUGGGUUUAAAGGGUGCGUAGGCGGGCAGGUAAGUCAGUGGUGAAAUCUCCGGGCUUAACCCGGAAGCUGCCAUUGAUACUAUCUGUCUUGAAUAUCCUGGAGGUGAGCGGAAUAUGUCAUGUAGCGGUGAAAUGCUUAGAUAUGACAUAGAACACCAAUUGCGAAGGCAGCUCACUGCGGGAUUAUUGACACUGAGGCACGAAAGCGUGGGGAUCAAACAGG
Molecule: ribosomal RNA, 253 nt
Filed under: uncultured bacterium
Lineage: Bacteria
Description: partial 16S ribosomal RNA
Rfam family: Bacterial small subunit ribosomal RNA
Source: RNAcentral